GAAUAUGCAGAUGAGGCCUGAUGUGAUUACACUGUACAAUUACUCCUAUCCAUGGUGGUGUCAGGGGCUGCUAGGGAGACAGAGAGUCAGACAGCCUCCAAGCCAAUACAGAGUUUUGUUUUCGGUAUUUUUCCUAUCUCCUUGGCACUGCGGCACAUGCAGAUGUCGCUGUUGUUCUUUAUAAAGCCCUAAUGUAUGCAAAAGCAUAACGAUUUGGUUUGGACGCAAAGCAUCAACGAAAUAUUAUGGAUGUCUUCAAGAAAGGGGGAGAGAAAAUCCUGACUGAAGGAAUGUCCACAUAAAUUAUUUUUAUUUAAAUGAAUUCAAAGGAUGGGAUGAGGGCAAGUCAGACGGAGUCGCGUGGAAAACAUGAAUAAUAUUAAUAUGCAUAAAGAAUUCUCACCAACGAGGAGAAGCUCCUCACUACAGCUCUUGGGACAAACAGGUUCAUUAGGAAACAGCUCAGAGCGACUACAGCAUUUUGCUAUUUCAAUUUUUUCCCUUAUUUUAAAUGAAGAGUCAGACAGAUGUGUUUUCUUUGCAUGGCAGCAUUGAGAUGGAUCCAAUCUGCGAAAUUUGCUGCCCAAAUAGCAUUUCUAAUGGAAACUGGAACUAAACAAGGGCACGGAUAUGGGAGGGAGGGGAGAAGAGAGAAUACACGAAGAAGAGUAUAUUCAGAGCCACUGCAUGGCAUUUUGAGUACAGGAGGUUUUCAGGAACGAUCUUUGCUUCAUUAGUCUCCCCUGUGGGCUCCUGAUGUAGGGAGCUAUCAGGGUAUACCAAGAUGAGCACUGAGACAGGCCUUUCUAGGUCUGAGGCUGAGGAAAGCAGCGGCAACUUGGUGCCUGUCCCCCAGAGCUGUCUACAGUUCAGAAGCCAAAAGCACAGCUACUUCUAAUUUGGGGAUGCAGUAGAGUGCCUACUGAUCCAGGUAUUUGUGAAAGAUGGAAUUCUUGGUGCUAUCAUAGUAUACAUUGCUAAAGAGCAGAUGAAAUCGGCUGCUUAAGGAGGCCUGAUAAUAUUUAUGUUGGUUAAUUC
This 1038-nucleotide long non-coding RNA is filed under the name Homo sapiens (human). RNAcentral describes it as "non-protein coding lnc-DHX38-3:2". Lineage: Eukaryota; Metazoa; Chordata; Mammalia; Primates; Hominidae. The record is from RNAcentral.